AAAGUCGUAACAAGGUUUCCGUAGGUGAACCUGCGGAAGGAUCAUUACCGAAUUGUAGGCUGAAAUAUGCCUAAAUUCCACACCAUGUUUUAAGCUGAAGGUUGUUUUUAAGCGGCCUGAUGCGAACACAUUUUUUAUUCACCGAAUAAAUCAAAACUUUCAACAACGGAUCUCUUGGUUCUG
This 183-nucleotide unclassified non-coding RNA is filed under the name Ascomycota sp. RNAcentral describes it as "partial contains small subunit ribosomal RNA, internal transcribed spacer 1, and 5.8S ribosomal RNA". The stretch from base 1 to 47 matches the Rfam family "Eukaryotic small subunit ribosomal RNA", at positions 1785 to 1831 of the family's 1831-position model. Lineage: Eukaryota; Fungi; Ascomycota. The record is from RNAcentral.